RNAcentral lists this transfer RNA (77 nucleotides) under Flavobacteriaceae bacterium. RNAcentral describes it as "tRNA-Ala". It matches the Rfam family "tRNA". Rfam says of the family: Transfer RNA (tRNA) molecules are approximately 80 nucleotides in length. Lineage: Bacteria; Pseudomonadati; Bacteroidota; Flavobacteriia; Flavobacteriales; Flavobacteriaceae. RNAcentral also lists the same sequence under 1 other name. The record is from RNAcentral.
GGGGAUGUAGCUCAGUUGGCUAGAGCGCUUGACUGGCAGUCAAGAGGUCGGCGGUUCGAGUCCGCUCUUCUCCACUA